AUGGAGCGCAGACUCUUGCGCUACCGCCCCGUUGAUGACUUCUACAAAGACUGGCUGGACCGCAUCGCCGAGCUAGUCAGUGCUGUUGGGGGCUCUCCUGCCCCGUCUCUCUCGUUGCCUUGCCCGCCGCCUGCUGCGGGUGACGUAGCUCAUGGAGCACCUCCUCCACCUCCCCGUCAAGACGUCUUCCUCAGGCCAAGGUGCGCGGCCCCAUGGCGUGACCGGCCGCGCAGGGCGCCUGCCGCCUGCUGUGUUCGCCUCAAGAUCCCCAAGGUUUCGGACGAGGCCAUCAUCUUAGCGUUUUCUGAUGGCGUCCGCGACGUCAAGAUGAAGGCAGAACUCGCCAUACACGAGGAGCUGUGCACGGCUCUGGAGAUGUUCAACAUGGCAACUAAGUGCGCAAGAGCUGAGGAGGGUCGCCUCUCCCUCCAGGAGCUCUCGGGGACAGACCUAGAAGACAAGAAGGCCAAGCUCAAGGACGUGAAGCGCAAGGGGCUGGCUGUGCUUGCGGCCGAGCCAGAGAUGAAGCGCGACUGCGACCAUCCAGAGUCAUCCAAGGGCAGCCGCCCAUUCUCAGUCUUCCAAAACAUGCACAACCACAACACCAAUGACUGUCAGGAGCUCAGGGCCGUCCACGACGGGCGCCUCAGUCGUCGCCCCGAGCGCAACGACCGAGGCCAUGGCUGCGGAGGAGGCCGAGGAGGAGGACGCUGGGAUGACCGCGGCCCUUGUCAGGAGUGGUGCGAUCAGCCUCGUGAGGAGCGCUGGCAAGCCCAGCCUCAUGAGGGCGCCUGGAGAGAUCAGCCUCGUGAGGAUCGUCCUCAGGGUAAUGCCGGCCUCCCUUCGCUGUCACCACCACCAAGAAGGAAUGACGACCACCACCAGGACAAGGGGGCUGGGGGCUUCUAG
This 909-nucleotide ribosomal RNA is filed under the name Triticum aestivum (bread wheat). Its description in RNAcentral is "partial small subunit ribosomal RNA". The record is from RNAcentral. Lineage: Eukaryota; Viridiplantae; Streptophyta; Magnoliopsida; Poales; Poaceae.